UCUAUAACUUUCCAUAGAAACAUUUCUAUGCUGUAGGUAAACGAAAAUCCUGUUUCUUUUCAAAGUUUGCUGAUAAAGGCCUUCGUUCCAUCCCGAGUUUGACGAGACCUCUUUCAACAAUAUCAAAGAACGUAUUCAAAGAUGCAGACUUGAGUCAUCUUAGAAUCCGGCUUACAAAAUAUACUAAGGUUUUCCUUUCCCAUUACUUUAUCCCUGUUUUCUGUAAGCAUCCUGAGUGGAAUCUUGUGUUGUUAUCCUAUUCAAUUUUUGAUUGUGUGGUUCAUUGUAUUCAGAUUUUAUAUACACUUGUUAAUUGAUGUAUAGUUAGUGGUCUAUCUUGUACUUACCUGGGGGCCCUCUGAUGGCACUCCUUAUAUGGAACAGAUAUCAUAUAUGUGGUAGUGAGAUGGGUGACAAAUAAACACGACAUUUGUGGUUUUAUGCAGCGGUUAUUAGACCAGUUGUACUUUAUGGAACUGACUGUUGUGCAACUAAAAGAUAAUUUUCACGAGUAUUAGAGUCUGUUUCCGGAUAAUUAGUUUAUUACCUUGUAUAGGCUAGCUAUCACACAAAAUCGGGAUUAAUUCCCAUUGUAUAUUUUCCUUAUAUAGCUUUGUACCAUCCUAUAAAUUAAAAGGCAAUACACAAUAGAGAGGAUUCAGCAAAAUCUGUCAAUGAGAUGAAUGAAAUACAAAUGAUGAUGUGAGAAGGAUGUGUGGCUAUAUUAGAAUAAAUAAAAAAAGAAAUAAUGGUAUGGUCCAACAAAGGAGGUAGGGCUAAUUGAAAACAAAGUAAAUAAGUAAUGGAAUAACGACUUAGAUGGUUGGGCAUGUUUAUGUUUAGUAUAAGCCUAAAUAAGUCUUCAUUUACAAAAGUAAUUCAGUUUGUGUAGAAUGUGCUAGAAGAGGGAGCCAUAGACCAAAAUUAACUCGGACUAAUAUGAAAGAUUUGAUAUCAUUGAGCCUUAGACCAAAAUUAACUUGAACUAAUAUGAAAGAUUUGAUUUUAUUAGACCUCUUAUAAGAUGCAUUGCUGGAUCAAAUAGUGACAAAAUGAUUCGCGUAUUGACACAAGGUAGUUGGAAAUAAGACCUCUUCUAGCUUCCUGAUGUCCUUUUACUCAUUUCUCUUCUGUAAGCUGCCUUUAUACAAUUCUGGGGACCUUAAUGUUGAUCUCUUCUCGUUGGUGUCUUGGAGAUACUAUGGAGUAAGCUUAUCAAGACCUGUUUUGCAACCGGCUUUAGGAAUAUGCUCAUGCAAGAUUCUUUCUCCCAAAUCAGUGGCAUUUGAAAGCCAAAGGGUUGAUAGAUUCUUGUGGAGUUUUAAAGAGUGGUGUUCAUGUCAUUUAUUUCUUGGAGAUGCUUUUUUCAGGAACGGGUGAUUGAUUUUUGACCUUUCUGAAUUAGAAUAGUUUCCUGAAAUGUUUGCUCUCAUAACAUGAUCUCCCUGUGAUAUGGUUUGGUUAGUGGAUCUUAAUCUUACUAGUCCGUGUUGUCAAUUGUGAGGAACGUAUUCACCAUGGGACAUUCAUGAAUACUUCAAUCUCCUAGUGAUAUUGUUUGAUGGCUGACUCCAAAUGCAUGCAGUGAAGUUAGGCUAGUAUUUUAGUUUCUCACAAAUUUCCUCAAGGUCCACCGUGGAAUUUGUAAUGCACAUGCUUUAUGUUUUACAGGUCAUUUUAGUCCAUGAAGCACAAGGUUAUAUAGCUUAGGUGGUUUGGUCUGCUUAAAACGGGAUUUUAGCCUUGGGAGACAUCAAUUGAACAUGAAUUCUAUCUACUUCCAGUUAUGUUUGUUGUGUUUAAUGCGCUUUUUUGGGGGGGGCGGGGGGGAGGGGUUGAAACUUGCAUUGUUUAGGACAAUGGAUGCCGCUGUAUGAAGUUUUGGAUUAAAUAGUUCGUUUCACUUUAAGAGAGCAGUUAUCUGACUCUAAUUGAAUUUCCUGAACCACUAGAAUAGUGUAGUAACAUGUUCAUAUUUCCAUUACUUGCUAGAAGUUUAUGGACAGAAUGGUGUCAGCUUAAUCAUUUUUUGGGUGUUUGCUAUUGAUUUGAAGGAAAUUUGGUUAAAGACGCUUGUUUAAGAAAGUACGUCUUUGUUGUACUCACAAAUUAGCCUGGAACUUAGCAUUCAUAAGUUACACUGAUAAUUAAAAGAGAGAAAUACUCACUGAUGCAUUUGAUGUGUGCAUUUUUCAUGUAAUGCACAAAUUGAUCACAAGUGUUAAAAAUUUAAUGUAAAUGCAUAGAGCCAGCACAUUCAAGUAGUCUUGCAGUGCUAAAUUAGAUAAAAAAUAUCCGUAUUGAUUUUCUGAAAUUUUACUUUUUGAAGCACGUGCUUCUAAACUAUUCUUCCCCAUUAAUUUGUGCAGAGAGUGGAUCUUUCCAGCUGCCCACAGUUCACACCAUCACUUGUUCUCCUGUCGAUGCUUCCUUUUUCAUGCUAUGCAGGUCACAUGCUAGAAAAGAGCAUUAAGGAAUCUUUAAUUAACCGUGUGCGUCUAAAAGAGGACGCCUUUCACGUAUCACAAGCAUUGGGGCUAAUGUUGACUUUUAUUGAAGUAGAAGAGGUGGAUAUUUCAAAUUGUCCAAUGCUACAUCUUGAGGCUGCCAUUGAGUGCUUCUGCAAGUUCCCAUCAUUAAGAAAAUUAAAGGCAGCUUACUCUUUAGACUUCAAAACAAAGAUGAUGUGUCAAUUGGUACAAAAGUGCCCACUACUCUCUGACAUUGACCUAACUGUGGAUGUUACUCCUGUUAUACCUGGACGCGUGUCAAUUGUAUCUUCCUGGCCGGCCUUGCCACAAAGAUCUACAACAUAUUUCAACCUUGAUAAUUGUUAUUCUGCUGCCUCUUUUUCAUAUAUGUCGAGGCCAUUCCUCUCAAAUAUCACGAAACUCACGUUGGAAGGCCGAACCGACAUCAGAGGUAACUCUUUUUUUGAGGGGGGGGGGGGGGGGACAGGGAGAGAGAGAGAGAGAGAGAGAGAGAGAGUGUGUGUUCCCUCCACACUGCAGUCCCACCCCAAAGAACAAUGAACCAUGAUGCAUAUUUGUAUGUAUACAUAUAGGUGUAUCCUAGUCUCCUUUGCAUCCGAUGUCAUUAUUUUCACCUUUUUGGAAAUUCUUUUGGUUGCUUAAAAAUUAAGACAUUCAAUUUCAAUACAUAAAAGAAUUGGAUCUUAAGAGAUUCUCAUGCAAAGGGUGCCAGCUAGGAUUAUUUUGCUUUGAUCAAGAGUGUGUGUACCUACUACCCACCAUUCAUUGAACAUUAACUAGGUAGAUGGUCGUAGAUGUGGCUUGCUGCAUAUUUUUAGGUUGGAAAUCAUCUGUUACCGAACUGUUGAUGUAAGGGAAGAAGUCUGUUUGCUGUUUUCUUUCAUCUAUGCACUUCAAUGUGUAGCAUGUCCUCCACAGGUGUAAAUCAACAAAAUGAAAGAGAAAAAUGCAUAGACAAUAUAACAAGGAUGCGUCUUGUAAGUUCUUUCAGAAUAUCAAACAUAGGAGAUUGCAUUGCUAAAAAGCUCGUUUUCAAAUAGCAAAGAUAACUAAUGCUACUAUGGCAAUUGUAGUUGUGGAAAAAAGAAGCAAGUGGUGUUAUGGAAAUAUGUUAAUAUACGAAAGGUCAUACAGAAUUUUAACAUGGUAAAGAUUGGGCCUUCUUUGAUUAUAUAAGCUAAAACAAUAUUUAAAAAAUGUUUUGAGGCUGCACCUGGAGUCCUGCCUAACAUGAGGCUCUCUUUAAAAGCAUCAAAGCUCAUGCCUUGACUUAGUGAGGCUUACGCCUUAAGAAAAGCACCAUGCAACUUCAUAGUUGAAAACCUUUCAGAUGGCAGGAUCAAAGCCAAUCUUACAAGCAUACCAAUGGACAUAUAAUCCCUUUGCUGCUAACUUCCAAGCUAAUUCCACUAAUUCCUUUCGUUUCGAAAAACUCCUCAUCCAACAAAAGCAAAUUUAGUUCUCAAAUUGAUUAUCAAGUGCUAAGAGAUCCACUAUAGAACAGGCUGACGGAUAAAACUUAACCAAAUAAAACUGUUCGUCGAAAGAGUAAAAUCAAUUGUUUGGACUUGAGUAAGCUACAAAAAUAAGUAACUCCAUAUUCACCAUUGUAAAAUGAUUAUCAAGUUCUUGAAGUUGCAUCUCCACAAUCUGUUGAAUGUUUCUACAGGAUAACGGUUUAAAUUUUUGGUUUGUGCUAUAUAUCGUGCCUUAGGCUUUAAAGAUAUGAUCCAUGUUGGGAAUAGGAUGCUCUAUUUCUUCUUAUUAUCUGCAAUCUUUAUUGGCAUAUUUUAAGUAAUAGCAUUUAUGUAUCUUGAUCUUUUGCUAGCAAGAGCUUUUACAACUCAUUAUUACGCCUUAUUUUUAUCAGUAUAUGGGGGCUUCUAUGCGUUUCUUUUAAUUGGCCGGCCUUGUAAAAUUGAACUAUUUUUUGUUGGUUCAACAGAUUCUGAUCUCCAUGACAUCUCAGAGUUCUGUGCUUCCUUGUGCUACCUUAACCUUAACGGGUGUACUUCAUUGACGGACAAUGGUUUAUCAGUAAUAAUUCUGAAAUGUAAAAAACUACACUCAGUUUUGGUGUGUGAUACUUCUUUUGGGAAUAAUUCAAUUCUGGCACUUUGCUAUGGGAUUUCUGUUGCGGAAUCCAAAAGAGGAAACUACUCUCACACGACGGCUUCGAAGUGUCAAACCCUGCAUAUUGGUGGCUGCAAUGGUGAGCAACAUUUCCUUUGUCCACUCUCACCCUCUUUUAUUUUCAGUAUUCCAGGAAAGUAAAGAGAAAUUCAAUUUUCAAAAGUUUUUUAUGUCAGUAUGUGUCAGAAGUUUUUCUGAUGGAAAUGUGUUUUUUUUAUAAAGUCUUUCAUAAUAUCAGAGUGAGCAUGAUUUUAUAUUUGGUUCACUUGAGUAUUUUUGAGACUUUUUCCUCAUUUGAGUAUAAUCUCAAUUGAUGUGUCUGCCAGUAUCUUUGAUGGUAUACACAAUCAAAUAUGUAUAGCUAACAGCUGGAAUACAUUAUAGUACACACGCAUCAAAUAUGUUUAACUUAAUCUUGUGAAUGUCAUAUAUACAAUUUAUUCUCAACACUAUCCACUUCUUCCCUUCUUUGGCAGGGAUAAAUGAAACAGCUUUGUCAGAGCUUCUCUCUGGAGCAAAUAAUUUGACGAGUCUGUGUUUGCGGGAGAUUCAACUUGAUGACAAUGCUCUUUAUUGUUUUUCAGGAUCCUCCUUGGAGAUGCUUGAUAUUUCUGAUACAAAGGUGCAGAGGCAGUCUAAAGGGAAAUUUUGUUUGUUUCUAGAAAGGAUUCCUCUAAAACCAUUCACUUUUUAUCAUGGAAUUCAUAUAAAUCACUUUACCUAAGAUCUCUUAUGAAUGCGGCAACUGGAAACUUGAACUGAACAUUGCAUAUAGAGUUUGAACUUCUGUUUUCACAACCUGCUUUCACCCGUCAAACCUAAGUCUGAAUAUCUGAAAAUCUUUAAAGCUUUUUGGGCUAGGCUAACUGAAAAACUGGGCUGCUAGAUCUUGUUUUUUGGAAGUUGACAGUUAACCUUUCAAAAGAUAUGUAUAUUUGUCAGAUACAUAAUUUUUCUGCAUGAGUUGCAAGAACUUCACGGUGGUUCAUUAGUUUCAUAUCAAUACCCAUCUGGAAUUGCAUGCAUCUGUCAAUUUCUUGAUGCCAUCUCUUUUAAGAGAGUACCCGUGUGUAAAUUGAGUCCUGAACUCGAGACUCGAAGCUUCGUGGGUUAGACUAUUUUUAUUUCCCACUUGCACGGUCUUGCAAGGAUAAGUUACGAAGGUUGUGCACUUGGCUUAAUCCCCAUGUUCAGGAAUUAGUUAUUAGCAAUGCAUGACAGACCUCUAUUAUACUUCGAUUGGGAUGUGAUAGCACGACGGAUGCAUAUGCUUGGUGGUGUCUUGCUCUAUUUCUUCAUCAAGUUUAAAAGAAAGAAUAUUUGUCUUUACUGUUUACUUUUGUCUUGUUAGAACCAAUCUUGAGUUGUACUGAAUAAAUAAAAUGUAUCAAGCUAACCCAUAAAUAAUGUGCUUGUGAUAUUUCAGGUUUCUGCUGCUGCUUUGGCUCAUGUGAUUUAUAGAAAUCCCGAUCUAAAAUGUUUGAAAGCAAGAGGCUGUAGGCAUUUGCUAGUAAAGGAAAGUAAGACGGAAGAGAGAAACUUGCCUGCUUUAUUGCGUACUCCAAAAGAGUGGUACUCUGAGCUUGGCAAGUCCUGCAAAUUGGACGAGAUUCAACUUGGAUGGGGUUUUUCAUCUCUUUAUAUGGAAGCACUUAAACCGGCAUUUAGAACAUUAAGAACGGUAGUUGUUGGUUUAGGUGGAUCCUUGGGCCAAGAUGGGCUGAAGCAGUUAUCAGAUAUCUGUCCUUUGAUUGAGACCAUGGUUCUAUAUUUUCAGGUAAUGAUUGUUUAGGAGAUAUAAUUAAUGUCAUCCGUAGCAAAUUAUCCGAUCAUCAUAAUUGAUGAGUGUUGAUUGCAAGCUUUGCAUAAAAUGUUCAAGAUUUAGGUUGUAUAUUUUCUCUUGACCAGCAAGAGUGAGACAACAGUGGAACUAAAACGGUAUAAGAAUAGAAAUAUUAUACUCAUAGGAACUAGGUCUUGGCAUUUUCUAGUUUGCUCAUUGGUACUCUCUCUCUCUCUCUCAUAAUUCUUUUAUCUCCCAGCAGCAAAAGGCAACUAUCAUUGAACAUCACUUAUCAGUUAAAACCUCUCACGUGAACCAUAUGUUUCUGAUGAAGUUGGAAGCUUUGGUGAUCUCCUGAUCACUAGAGUACAAUUUAUGGAGCUUUUUCGGUGAUCGUUUUUAGUUAUAUGAUAUACUAACUGAUGCUUGAAGCCAUGCACUAAUACAUUGUCUGAUGUUAACAGGUGAUAACUGAUUCUACUAUAAUGCAUGUUAUGAAAACCUUGUUGCAGUUGCAAGUCUUGGCUCUAUCCUAUUGCAUUGGUGAGAUUUCAUCAUUAAGCUUUAAGUUCUUGAUGCCGAAUCUGAAGAACCUGAAACUUGAAAGAGUAACACCAUGGAUGUCAAAUGAAGAUUUGGUUAAUCUGACACAGAAUUGCCCCAAGUUAGUCAAGCUUUCAUUGACAGGGUGCACAAUGCUUAAUUCAGGCGAGUAAUUUCUACCUGAUAACCAGUCUGUAGAAAUUUCAAUGACACUAAAUGCAAUUUUCAUGCAGUGUGACUCUAAUAAGAAUUCUUAUGCUCUGAGUUUCAUAAGCUGCUGUAUAAUCGAGAAUUAAUACUCGUAUAUCAUUUUUUAUUAUAUACAUGCAUCCUUUUGUCUGGGGAUGACUGAGUGAAGUGAUUUGAAUACUGGCUAAAAUAAUAAUAAAAACUUUUCCUUUCCCUUGUUAUGUUCUUUUCAGAAUCCCAAGAUAUUAUUUCAAGUGGUUGGCCAGGGUUGAUAUCCAUUCAUCUUGAGGUUUGCUGUCACCAUUUUCUCUUGGGAUGCCUUUUUAUUAUUUUUUUAAAAAGAUAUGUAGAUCUUACAUUUGCUACCAACUUUGCAAGAGGAGGAUAAAGACUGAAAUACUAUUAUCUGAUAGUAAAUUUGCUAUUACUUUUUUUGUUUUUGCAUACACCUAAGCAGAUGACCUAAACAAUAUUAACAGUUUUGUGUAACCCAAUUCCUGACUAAGGGCAGAUUUUCGACCCCUUUUUUUUUUUCCCUUAUUUUUGCAACCUCUUGCUACAUCUCUAAAAUUUUCUUCUAUACCUGUGAUUCACCCAAUUUUAUUGAGUGUAGAGGAUGGACAAAGUAGCAAUUAAAAAUUAAAACUUGUCUAAACUUGAGGGGCAUGUUGAAGACAACAUUAAAUGAUAUAAAUUGUGUCCUUAUCUAAUAGCUUAAGCAUUUAGAUCAAGCCGUUUAACAUGGUGUCACAUCAAGCAAAGGUCAGUCAAGUCUCGGCUCUGUCCAUUUAAAUGAAUUGUCCACAUGUUAAGUUUUGAUGGACGUGUUGUCGAUGGUAUUUGAAUGAUAUAAAUAUGCCCUAUCUAACAAUUUAAGCUAUUAGAUCAAGUGGUUCAACAAUAAUGAUUGCUGCUGUUAUUUUCCAAUUAGAUUCACCACCUUUCAUAAAGAGAAGUUUUCUAACCUCUUUCAAAAUUCCAAAAUGUGAAAGAAGAACUGUUUUAUAAGUUCAAAAUCAACAAAGAAUUUAAAGUUUUCUGAACAUGCAUGUGAGGGUCUUCAAUUACAAGAGAAGUUCACAGGGAGAGGUGGUCCAUAAUUUGAUCAAGAACGAACCAUUUUUGAUAUGUGCCAGUCCUCUUGCUAGUGAGCACUCAUGUACCAUUAAAGAUUAAGAAGCAAAAUGGAUCAAAGGAAAGAGGAGGUAACAAAGUUAAAAUCAUGAAGUUGGUAAGAAGCAAAAGGGAAGAAAUUACUGCCUGAAGUUGGCCUUGGGCCUUCUUUGAAUCUGAAUUAUAUAAUUCUUUUUUCAUUUAGGGAAUAGAAUCCUUCCUUGAAAGUCAUUUUGAGUUCCCCCAAAGGAUUUCUCCAGUUGUCAAUUACUAUAACUUGCACAAACAGCAAACAGGCAUUCUCUUUGUUGGCCACUAUAUACAUCUACAGGGUACUUUAUCCCCUGAAGUUGGCAUUUGGUAUGCAAGAGCAUAUGCACAGUAUAGGAAUGGACUUGUGAAAUGAAUGAAGAUGGGAAUGAAAUGCAAUAGACAUGGGAUAUCUCAUGUUUGGUUUGUCUAGGAAUAAGAACAGCAAUGGGAUCAGGUUCCACAUUUUUGAUUUCUUAUAUUUGGUCUGUUAUGAAGCAUGGUAAUGAAAUACAGAUUGUGAAAUGGCUAUGCAUACCUUACUGAAAUUUUAUAUUUUAAGCAUUAAUUCAUGUAAUUGGGAAAAUAAUGUCACAUGUCAGAAUUUGAAAACACGUUGCAUUCCAGAUUAUCUAGAUGCUUACGCUGGAUGGAAUGCCAUGAGCCUACUCGAUAUCUUCCUUGCCUGCUUCACUAGAGGGGGAAAAAAUAGGGAGAGGAAGAUAAAUAUUUUUGAAUCUUUCUUCUGUCAAUGGUUGAACCUUCUUGCCCAUGCUUCUACAAGAAGAAGAAGAGAAGCCUAAUCAGACACUAAACUACAGUUACCUUACUGAAGACUCAAAAGAAAAAAUUGAAGAUUAGAUUUUUGAGACAUCUGAAGAUCAAAUUUGCAGAUUCAAUGCUUAAUUCCAUGGUUCUUGAGUUCAUGCUCUCUCAUAUUUUAAUAAUAUCUUCUUGGUGGUUAUUUUACAUGUUCUUUCUAUUGAGAAUGUUUAUACGAGUGUAGUUCAUCUUCUAAGUUGCUUUCUCACUAUCAUAAAUUCAAUGUCUUUUAUGGAAUUUACACCAACAUUAAGGAGGAGGAGCCAAAUCGAUAGAAAUUAAAACCUGAAAUUGGGAAGAGAUGCAAAAGUUUGGCGGUGUUGAAAUUUGUUAAAAAACGGGGGUUCCAUUUUUGUGAAAGAGACCAUAAUUAUAAACCCCACCAAAAUGAGAGCAGUAUCUACGAUAUAGGAUGAAGUGAAUAUAAAUAUUAUUUCAUUCAUUUGAUUGAUGUAUUUCAUCAUCAGUUCUUAUCCUUUUCGGUAUCUUUGUAACAGCGCAUGUUAUUUGUUGUUUAGGACUGUGGAGAAGUAACAACCAAUGACGUUGUAUCUCUUCUGGACUGUCAUGCCCUUGAAGAUCUUAUGCUACGUCACACUGUGAGUCUUCAACACUGGUUUUUUCUCAUGUGGUGUGGCUUGUUUUAACUUUUGGAGGCUAGAUAAUUAACUUAAUUCUAAUUAGGGGUGGUUGCAAUCUGAUCCUAUUAUCCUUCAUUAUAGUUACCAACUGGUUCUCUGCAAAAGAUGAUGAAUUUGAACUUUCCCGUUUUUGCCUCCUUCGGUUUCUUUUUCUUUUUCCUUCAAACAAAAUGAAUAAUUGGACAGCAAAUGUACGACCCGAAGAAAUUACAAGACAAAAUACUUCAUGUUUCCUGUUUCCUGUCCUCCUAGUAUUAUGUGGCAUAUAUUAGGGAUGAACUUUUUGGUUGGUAUAACCUGAGAUCUCAAUCUAGGUAGCAUUCCUUUGACAAGGUACAUAAUGUUUGGAUUUAUAUAUUAGGCAAUCUUUAGUAUCGCAUAAUAGAUGAUAUAUAAGCACAAGAUUGUGAUGAAGACUACCAAUUGCUUGGACUUCGAUUCAGAGUAUGACAGAGAUAAUACAAAAUAUCCCUUUCUUUUCCUCUUCAACCCCUUAACUCCAACCCUAUCACACCCACAACACAGACAUCAAACUGCAAGGUAUAUACAUUAUACUAGUCCUAAUAAUAUAUCGGCACCUAAAAACACUGAACUGUUUUCAAUUUUGUGAAGUUCCAUUCAAUUAUUAUGAUCUCACUAGACAUUUCAUCAAACACUAAUUUCGAAUUCUUGGUCUACCUACAAAAUUCGAAGCUUUAUUUUUGUGAACUAGCAACUUGCUGAUUCUGGAGUGAAUUGUGCUUUAAAUAUUUAGGGCCCUGGAAUUACGAGAAAUUUCAUCAUUUAUGCUGCUUACAAGGUAAUUAUGGCUGCUCACAUGGAAUUACCGUAUUUGGACAUUGUUUUUUCUCAAAUUGUUUGAAGUUCCCCGUUUUAUUGUGUAUUUUUGGUGCCUGCAGUUAC
Molecule: long non-coding RNA, 10649 nt
Filed under: Olea europaea subsp. europaea
Lineage: Eukaryota; Viridiplantae; Streptophyta; Magnoliopsida; Lamiales; Oleaceae
Source: RNAcentral